UUUCGUUUCAGCCUUUGUUUUCGAGAAAAUCGACUUUGAAUUUUCGCUCGGUACGCGUGCACUUUAUCACGUCUCGUCAUAAGGGAUCUCACUGUAGAUCGCUAAGUCGAAAAUAUAGAAUAAAAAUUUUUCGUUUGAGGCUUUGUUUUCGAGAAAAUCGACUUUGAAUUUUCGCUCGGUACGCGUGCACUUUGUCACGUCUCGUUAUAUGGGAUCUCGCUGUAGAUCGUUGUCUCGAUUGACGUUAUGUUGAUAAACACUU
Molecule: unclassified non-coding RNA, 262 nt
Filed under: Bombus terrestris (buff-tailed bumblebee)
Lineage: Eukaryota; Metazoa; Arthropoda; Insecta; Hymenoptera; Apidae
Description: misc RNA ENSBTSG00005029067.1
Source: RNAcentral